GGGCGCGUGGUUUAGUGGUAGUAAGUCACCCAAAAAAAAACCUCGCUUGUCCUCCAGCCCUAACAGGAAUUUAGUAAUACUCCCUUAGCAUGGGAGUGGUCCGGGGUUCGAUUCCCCGCGCGUCCA
Non-coding RNA from Oidiodendron maius Zn, 126 nucleotides. The record is from the annotation of a GenBank genome assembly. Lineage: Eukaryota; Fungi; Ascomycota; Leotiomycetes; Myxotrichaceae.